Molecule: long non-coding RNA, 2508 nt
Filed under: Citrus maxima (pomelo)
Lineage: Eukaryota; Viridiplantae; Streptophyta; Magnoliopsida; Sapindales; Rutaceae
Description: long non-coding RNA (CMAX_LNC003705)
Source: RNAcentral
AUUGGCCUUAUACUGAACACCAAAUCCCUAAAAUUACAGAUAAUUUGUAAACAUUAAAAGCAAUUGCGCACGCACGCAGCCCCUUUCUCUCAACAGCACGCACGCCGCCAGCACACUUAGCCCAUGCAGCAGCAACCGAGCACGGUAGCAACAGGCCACCAGCAGUCGCUCUCUCUCUCACGCACACGCAGCAGCAAGCCAACACCAAUAGCCCCUCUUUCUCAUGCUCACUCUCUACUAUGACGAAGUCAACACUAUAGCCCUCUUACGUACUCAAGAAAACUCUAACCCAUAUCCAAACCCUCGCCGUCGAAGAAAACCCAAUCCUUAAUGGCUUGAAAUUAAAGCCUCCGCCGUCAAUCACCAUCGAACCAAAUAAACCCUAGCCUUACCAUCACUCUUCAUUUGACUCGCUGAAGAAAGCACUCUAUUAGGUAAGUCUCUGUUGUUUGAUAAUAUAUCUGCACUCUUUGUUGGCCGAAGCUUUUAGACAAUUGCUUUGAUUCAAUUGCUUCGAUUGGUUAGUUCUCUGUGAUUAAUUAGUUAGUUACUUUUAAUUUCAUAUUUUCAUCUCUAACAGUGAAUUUGGGAGUCGUUUUCUCUAUCGGAUUUGUAAUUUUUGCUACGGAUCAAAAACAUCUUGAAGGUGUUUUCAUAUCUAACAACUUGAACUAUCAUUUAUUUUGUCCUAUUAAUGUUCAAUUUUUUUUUUCUUUUUUAUUAGUAUGACAAUUAGUCGAAUGUCCUUGCACAUAAAACAAUCUUUUAACUUGGCGUUGGAAUAUUUGUUUUGAGUUGUGUCCCCUUAAUCAGUGACCAUACAAAAGUUCCCCAUGAUAAAGUGUUUAGCCCUAUUAAUGCCAUAAAGUCUUGCUCUCAAUUUUUCUGAUUAUGCCUAUGGAUUGAUUACCUAUUUCAUUUACAAAUUCAAUUGGCAAAUGUACAAUGCCUGCAUGACACUCACAUUUGGGUUAUAAUGGUAGUCAUUAUGAGGAAGAAGGUUAGAAUAACAUCAGGGGAAACAUCUGGGAGAAGGUAUGUACUGUCAAGCUCUUUGUUAGAAUCAUCACGAAAUUUAUAUUGGAUCGUGGCUGUUCUAUGUGAUGCAUUUUGGAUUUGCUCUUGCUAGACAUGCAAAAACUUGUAAAAUGUAUUUUUUUUUUCCCAUUUUAGAUUUACUAUCUAGUAUCUUGUAGGUUUAAUCUAAAAUAGAAACCAUUCAGGAUACUGGACACAAUUCUAAUGAAGAGAAAAGAUGUUAGACUUUAGUAUUCAACCUUUUUUUUUUAGCCAUAUUUCUAGACCCCAAGUUUAUGUCAUGAUAAUUGUGUGAUUGAUAAGAUAUUUUGGUUUUAGACUGUAUCUCAUGGAUUUAGAGUUCGAUUAUAUUUGGAAGUGGAAUAAUGCAUUCAUUUACAUAUGAUGUUUGAUGAAGUUCCCAUAAAAUUAAUUCAAUUAUAUAUGCUUAUGGUUCUAAGGAAGCGGGGCAAAAAUUUUAUCAGUGGGUUGAUUUCACUAGUUCAAGUUAGUAAAGCAAAGAAAUUGUCUUUAUGCACUUUAACUUUCCUCCAUUUAAGUUAAAAAAAUUAUUGAAGCUUUUGGAAGUGAAUUGUUCAUUUUGUUUGUGCACUUAUGCAGAUGGAUUUACUUUUGGCUGCUUAACCCUUCCUCACUUAUAUUUUUUCAGUUUAAAUUGCAGUGUUUUACUGCUGUGCAACAGCACAAGAGGUUGUUUUAUUGUUGUUUCUAUAAAAACACAGCACCAGGAAGCGUCCAGGUAAUGUUUCGCUGCUGUUAUGCAGUAAAAACAACACCUGAAAGUUUCUAGGUGCUAUUUUUACUGCUGUUUACGCAGAAACACAGCACCUAAAAGUGUCUCUAAGUUCUGUUUAGCUGCUAUUAUGCAGCAAAAACAGCACUUGGAAACUUCCAAGUGCUGUUUUUAUUGCAUUUUAUGCAGAAACAAAGCACCUAGAAGCAUUCAAGGGUUGCUUUACUGUUGUUUUGUAUUUAAAAUUGGUCUUAGAAAUUUUGGGUGCUAUUUCGCUGAAAUUUUGCUACUAACAGUGCAGCUUAAUAAUUUCAUAUGUCGUUUUGAACCUUCUUCAGUUCUUUUCUCUUAUGUCUAUACUUAAUCUUUUCCCCCCUUGGUAAUAAGCAGGUACAAUUUUUGCAAGGUAAUAUCUAAGCAUGCUGUUAAUUCUUUGGUUGAGACGUAGUAUUCUAAACUUCAGGCCUUAAUUUUUUUAUUUCCAAGUGUAUAAUGGGUAGGUACUGGAUCUCUUAUGGAUGAUGUAGUUAAUGCUUUUUUAUUGUCUCUAUUUUGGCAAAUGUGUUGUCAUUUAUUAUCUGAACACAUGGUUGAUUAACUUACUUGAGGUAAGUCUAUUAAUUAAUAGUGAUAUGGUACUUUAAAGUCUUGUUUUACAACUUAAGUCACUAAAGUGAUUUAAUAUUUAUGAUUUAUAAUAUAUGAAUAUAUCUUAAUUUCUCUUUAUUCUUUGUAAG